RNAcentral lists this ribosomal RNA (521 nucleotides) under uncultured bacterium. RNAcentral's name for it is "bacterial SSU rRNA". It matches the Rfam family "Bacterial small subunit ribosomal RNA", at positions 25 to 518 of the family's 1533-position model. The record is from RNAcentral.
CAGGACGAACGCUGGCGGCGUGCCUAAUACAUGCAAGUCGAACGGUCUUUCUAUGGAAGCUUGCUUCCACUGAGAAGAUAGUGGCGAACGGGUGAGUAACACGUGGGUAACCUGCCCAUAAGAGGGGGAUAACAUCCGGAAACGGGUGCUAAUACCGCAUAGUUUUCUUGAUCGCGUGAUUGAGAAAGGAAAGACGGCCUUUGUGCUGUCGCUUAUGGAUGGACCCGCGGCGUAUUAGUUAGUUGGUGAGGUAACGGCUCACCAAGACGAUGAUACGUAGCCGACCUGAGAGGGUGAUCGGCCACAUUGGGACUGAGACACGGCCCAAACUCCUACGGGAGGCAGCAGUAGGGAAUCUUCCGCAAUGGACGAAAGUCUGACGGAGCAACGCCGCGUGAGUGAAGAAGGUUUUUCCGGAUCGUAAAACUCUGUUGUCAGAGAAGAACAAGUUGGAGAGUAACUGCUCCAGCCUUGACGGUAUCUGACCAGAAAGCCACGGCUAACUACGUGCCAGCAGCUGC